GACGAACGCUGGCGGCGUGCUUAACACAUGCAAGUCGAACGGAAAGGCCCUGCUUUUGUGGGGUGCUCGAGUGGCGAACGGGUGAGUAACACGUGAGUAACCUGCCCUCGACUUUGGGAUAACUUCAGGAAACUGGGGCUAAUACCGGAUAGGAGCUCCUGCUGCAUGGUGGGGGUUGGAAAGUUUCGGCGGUUGGGGAUGGACUCGCGGCUUAUCAGCUUGUUGGUGGGGUAGUGGCUUACCAAGGCUUUGCCGGGUAGCCGGCCUGAGAGGGUGACCGGCCACAUUGGGACUGAGAUACGGCCCAGACUCCUACGGGAGGCAGCAGUGGGGAAUAUUGCACAAUGGGCGGAAGCCUGAUGCAGCAACGCCGCGUGCGGGAUGACGGCCUUCGGGUUGUAAACCGCUUUCGCCUGUGACGAAGCGUGAGUGACGGUAAUGGGUAAAGAAGCACCGGCUAACUACGUG
Molecule: ribosomal RNA, 468 nt
Filed under: uncultured bacterium
Lineage: Bacteria
Description: partial 16S ribosomal RNA
Rfam family: Bacterial small subunit ribosomal RNA
Source: RNAcentral